GCUGGGUGUGGUGGUGGACACCUGUAAUCCCAGCUACUUGGGAGGCUGAGGCUGGAGAAUCGCUUGAACCCAGGACUCAGAGGUUGCAGUGAGCUGAGAUCGCACCAUUGCACUCUAGCCUGGAUGACAGAGCGAGACUCUGUCUCAA
Unclassified non-coding RNA from Pongo abelii (Sumatran orangutan), 148 nucleotides. It matches the Rfam family "Metazoan signal recognition particle RNA". From Rfam's summary of the family: The signal recognition particle (SRP) is a universally conserved ribonucleoprotein. It is involved in the co-translational targeting of proteins to membranes. The eukaryotic SRP consists of a 300-nucleotide 7S RNA and six proteins: SRPs 72, 68, 54, 19, 14, and 9. NCBI's taxonomy places the organism in Eukaryota, Metazoa, Chordata, Mammalia, Primates, Hominidae. The record is from Ensembl.